RNAcentral lists this ribosomal RNA (1414 nucleotides) under Escherichia coli. RNAcentral describes it as "partial 23S ribosomal RNA". It matches the Rfam family "Bacterial large subunit ribosomal RNA", at positions 911 to 2308 of the family's 2925-position model. Lineage: Bacteria; Pseudomonadati; Pseudomonadota; Gammaproteobacteria; Enterobacterales; Enterobacteriaceae. The record is from RNAcentral.
UGUUUCGGCAAGGGGGUCAUCCCGACUUACCAACCCGAUGCAAACUGCGAAUACCGGAGAAUGUUAUCACGGGAGACACACGGCGGGUGCUAACGUCCGUCGUGAAGAGGGAAACAACCCAGACCGCCAGCUAAGGUCCCAAAGUCAUGGUUAAGUGGGAAACGAUGUGGGAAGGCCCAGACAGCCAGGAUGUUGGCUUAGAAGCAGCCAUCAUUUAAAGAAAGCGUAAUAGCUCACUGGUCGAGUCGGCCUGCGCGGAAGAUGUAACGGGGCUAAACCAUGCACCGAAGCUGCGGCAGCGACACUAUGUGUUGUUGGGUAGGGGAGCGUUCUGUAAGCCUGUGAAGGUGUACUGUGAGGUAUGCUGGAGGUAUCAGAAGUGCGAAUGCUGACAUAAGUAACGAUAAAGCGGGUGAAAAGCCCGCUCGCCGGAAGACCAAGGGUUCCUGUCCAACGUUAAUCGGGGCAGGGUGAGUCGACCCCUAAGGCGAGGCCGAAAGGCGUAGUCGAUGGGAAACAGGUUAAUAUUCCUGUACUUGGUGUUACUGCGAAGGGGGGACGGAGAAGGCUAUGUUGGCCGGGCGACGGUUGUCCCGGUUUAAGCGUGUAGGCUGGUUUUCCAGGCAAAUCCGGAAAAUCAAGGCUGAGGCGUGAUGACGAGGCACUACGGUGCUGAAGCAACAAAUGCCCUGCUUCCAGGAAAAGCCUCUAAGCAUCAGGUAACAUCAAAUCGUACCCCAAACCGACACAGGUGGUCAGGUAGAGAAUACCAAGGCGCUUGAGAGAACUCGGGUGAAGGAACUAGGCAAAAUGGUGCCGUAACUUCGGGAGAAGGCACGCUGAUAUGUAGGUGAAGUCCCUCGCGGAUGGAGCUGAAAUCAGUCGAAGAUACCAGCUGGCUGCAACUGUUUAUUAAAAACACAGCACUGUGCAAACACGAAAGUGGACGUAUACGGUGUGACGCCUGCCCGGUGCCGGAAGGUUAAUUGAUGGGGUCAGCGCAAGCGAAGCUCUUGAUCGAAGCCCCGGUAAACGGCGGCCGUAACUAUAACGGUCCUAAGGUAGCGAAAUUCCUUGUCGGGUAAGUUCCGACCUGCACGAAUGGCGUAAUGAUGGCCAGGCUGUCUCCACCCGAGACUCAGUGAAAUUGAACUCGCUGUGAAGAUGCAGUGUACCCGCGGCAAGACGGAAAGACCCCGUGAACCUUUACUAUAGCUUGACACUGAACAUUGAGCCUUGAUGUGUAGGAUAGGUGGGAGGCUUAGAAGUGUGGACGCCAGUCUGCAUGGAGCCGACCUUGAAAUACCACCCUUUAAUGUUUGAUGUUCUAACGUUGACCCGUGAACCGGGUUGCGGACAGUGUCUGGUGGGUAGUUUGACUGGGGCGGUCUCCUCCUAAAGAGUAACGGAGGAG